RNAcentral lists this ribosomal RNA (547 nucleotides) under uncultured bacterium. Its description in RNAcentral is "bacterial SSU rRNA". It matches the Rfam family "Bacterial small subunit ribosomal RNA", at positions 358 to 916 of the family's 1533-position model. The record is from RNAcentral.
GGAAUAUUGGGCAAUGGGCGCAAGCCUGACCCAGCGACGCCGCGUGAGGGAUGAAGGCCUUCGGGUUGUAAACCUCUUUCAGUAGGGAAGAAGCGAAAGUGACGGUACCUAAAGAAGAAGCACCGGCUAACUAUGUGCCAGCAGCCGCGGUAAUACAUAGGGUGCAAGCGUUGUCCGGAAUUAUUGGGCGUAAAGAGCUCGUAGGUCGUUUGCCGCGUCGAUUGUGAAAAUCUGAGGCUCAACCUCAGACCUGCAGUCGAUACGGGCAAACUAGAGUGUGGUAGGGGAGACUGGAAUUCCUGGUGUAGCGGUGGAAUGCGCAGAUAUCAGAAGGAACACCAAUGGCGAAGGCAGGUCUCUGGGCCAUAACUGACACUGAGGAGCGAAAGCGCGGGGAGCGAACAGGAUUAGAUACCCUGGUAGUCCGCGCCGUAAACGAUGGGCACUAGCUGUGAGAGCCUUCCACGGUUCUCGCGACGCAGCAAACGCAUUAAGUGCCCCGCCUGGGGAGUACGAUCGCAAGAUUAAAACUCAAAUGAAUUGACGU